AGGCAGCCCAAUCUCCAGGGCACGGUACACUCAGUUUAAUUGCAUUGCAGAGGCACAUGAAAAUAUAAAGAAAUACAAAAGUCUCAAUUCACGCAAUAAACGAUCAUGUCACUGGGGAAUAAAGUACGUGAUGCUACAAAUGAAGUACAUCAAGACAAAUAAAAGGUAUUUUCAUCAUGAGCCUGAUUGCAUCAAUGAAUCACACUGCUUUC
Non-coding RNA from Pelobates cultripes (western spadefoot toad), 212 nucleotides. Lineage: Eukaryota; Metazoa; Chordata; Amphibia; Anura; Pelobatidae. The record is from the annotation of a GenBank genome assembly.